This 2902-nucleotide ribosomal RNA is filed under the name Escherichia coli BCE001_MS16. RNAcentral's name for it is "bacterial LSU rRNA". It matches the Rfam family "Bacterial large subunit ribosomal RNA". Lineage: Bacteria; Pseudomonadati; Pseudomonadota; Gammaproteobacteria; Enterobacterales; Enterobacteriaceae. The record is from RNAcentral.
UAAGCGACUAAGCGUACACGGUGGAUGCCCUGGCAGUCAGAGGCGAUGAAGGACGUGCUAAUCUGCGAUAAGCGUCGGUAAGGUGAUAUGAACCGUUAUAACCGGCGAUUUCCGAAUGGGGAAACCCAGUGUGUUUCGACACACUAUCAUUAACUGAAUCCAUAGGUUAAUGAGGCGAACCGGGGGAACUGAAACAUCUAAGUACCCCGAGGAAAAGAAAUCAACCGAGAUUCCCCCAGUAGCGGCGAGCGAACGGGGAGGAGCCCAGAGCCUGAAUCAGUGUGUGUGUUAGUGGAAGCGUCUGGAAAGGCGCGCGAUACAGGGUGACAGCCCCGUACACAAAAAUGCACAUGCUGUGAGCUCGAUGAGUAGGGCGGGACACGUGGUAUCCUGUCUGAAUAUGGGGGGACCAUCCUCCAAGGCUAAAUACUCCUGACUGACCGAUAGUGAACCAGUACCGUGAGGGAAAGGCGAAAAGAACCCCGGCGAGGGGAGUGAAAAAGAACCUGAAACCGUGUACGUACAAGCAGUGGGAGCCUCUUUUAUGGGGUGACUGCGUACCUUUUGUAUAAUGGGUCAGCGACUUAUAUUCUGUAGCAAGGUUAACCGAAUAGGGGAGCCGAAGGGAAACCGAGUCUUAACUGGGCGUUAAGUUGCAGGGUAUAGACCCGAAACCCGGUGAUCUAGCCAUGGGCAGGUUGAAGGUUGGGUAACACUAACUGGAGGACCGAACCGACUAAUGUUGAAAAAUUAGCGGAUGACUUGUGGCUGGGGGUGAAAGGCCAAUCAAACCGGGAGAUAGCUGGCUCUCCCCGAAAGCUAUUUAGGUAGCGCCUCGUGAAUUCAUCUCCGGGGGUAGAGCACUGUUUCGGCAAGGGGGUCAUCCCGACUUACCAACCCGAUGCAAACUGCGAAUACCGGAGAAUGUUAUCACGGGAGACACACGGCGGGUGCUAACGUCCGUCGUGAAGAGGGAAACAACCCAGACCGCCAGCUAAGGUCCCAAAGUCAUGGUUAAGUGGGAAACGAUGUGGGAAGGCCCAGACAGCCAGGAUGUUGGCUUAGAAGCAGCCAUCAUUUAAAGAAAGCGUAAUAGCUCACUGGUCGAGUCGGCCUGCGCGGAAGAUGUAACGGGGCUAAACCAUGCACCGAAGCUGCGGCAGCGACGCUUAUGCGUUGUUGGGUAGGGGAGCGUUCUGUAAGCCUGUGAAGGUGUACUGUGAGGUAUGCUGGAGGUAUCAGAAGUGCGAAUGCUGACAUAAGUAACGAUAAAGCGGGUGAAAAGCCCGUCUCGCCGGAAGACCAAGGGUUCCUGUCCAACGUUAAUCGGGGCAGGGUGAGUCGACCCCUAAGGCGAGGCCCGAAAGGCGUAGUCGAUGGGAAACAGGUUAAUAUUCCUGUACUUGGUGUUACUGCGAAGGGGGGACGGAGAAGGCUAUGUUGGCCGGGCGACGGUUGUCCCGGUUUAAGCGUGUAGGCUGGUUUUCCAGGCAAAUCCGGAAAAUCAAGGCUGAGGCGUGAUGACGAGGCACUACGGUGCUGAAGCAACAAAUGCCCUGCUUCCAGGAAAAGCCUCUAAGCAUCAGGUAACAUCAAAUCGUACCCCAAACCGACACAGGUGGUCAGGUAGAGAAUACCAAGGCGCUUGAGAGAACUCGGGUGAAGGAACUAGGCAAAAUGGUGCCGUAACUUCGGGAGAAGGCACGCUGAUAUGUAGGUGAAGUCCCUCGCGGAUGGAGCUGAAAUCAGUCGAAGAUACCAGCUGGCUGCAACUGUUUAUUAAAAACACAGCACUGUGCAAACACGAAAGUGGACGUAUACGGUGUGACGCCUGCCCGGUGCCGGAAGGUUAAUUGAUGGGGUCAGCGCAAGCGAAGCUCUUGAUCGAAGCCCCGGUAAACGGCGGCCGUAACUAUAACGGUCCUAAGGUAGCGAAAUUCCUUGUCGGGUAAGUUCCGACCUGCACGAAUGGCGUAAUGAUGGCCAGGCUGUCUCCACCCGAGACUCAGUGAAAUUGAACUCGCUGUGAAGAUGCAGUGUACCCGCGGCAAGACGGAAAGACCCCGUGAACCUUUACUAUAGCUUGACACUGAACAUUGAGCCUUGAUGUGUAGGAUAGGUGGGAGGCUUUGAAGUGUGGACGCCAGUCUGCAUGGAGCCGACCUUGAAAUACCACCCUUUAAUGUUUGAUGUUCUAACGUGGACCCGUAAUCCGGGUUGCGGACAGUGUCUGGUGGGUAGUUUGACUGGGGCGGUCUCCUCCUAAAGAGUAACGGAGGAGCACGAAGGUUGGCUAAUCCUGGUCGGACAUCAGGAGGUUAGUGCAAUGGCAUAAGCCAGCUUGACUGCGAGCGUGACGGCGCGAGCAGGUGCGAAAGCAGGUCAUAGUGAUCCGGUGGUUCUGAAUGGAAGGGCCAUCGCUCAACGGAUAAAAGGUACUCCGGGGAUAACAGGCUGAUACCGCCCAAGAGUUCAUAUCGACGGCGGUGUUUGGCACCUCGAUGUCGGCUCAUCACAUCCUGGGGCUGAAGUAGGUCCCAAGGGUAUGGCUGUUCGCCAUUUAAAGUGGUACGCGAGCUGGGUUUAGAACGUCGUGAGACAGUUCGUUCCCUAUCUGCCGUGGGCGCUGGAGAACUGAGGGGGGCUGCUCCUAGUACGAGAGGACCGGAGUGGACGCAUCACUGGUGUUCGGGUUGUCAUGCCAAUGGCACUGCCCGGUAGCUAAAUGCGGAAGAGAUAAGUGCUGAAAGCAUCUAAGCACGAAACUUGCCCCGAGAUGAGUUCUCCCUGACCCUUUAAGGGUCCUGAAGGAACGUUGAAGACGACGACGUUGAUAGGCCGGGUGUGUAAGCGCAGCGAUGCGUUGAGCUAACCGGUACUAAUGAACCGUGAGGCUUAACCU